CACAUUUAAAGGUUACGGAGGCGGUCAAAAUGGGGGGAGAUCACGCAGUAAGCCUAUCCAGAAAAGAGUUUGGCUCCGGAAAUACAACCUUUAUACCACAACAGAUGGAUCCGGGUUCCGGCUCACAGUGUUUUCUGGGAAGAGACCGGGGCGUUCAGAAGGCAUACGGCUGACAGUCGUUCAGCGUGAAUGUGGAUAUCCACUUGAAAGUAUGGCUGGCACUACUAGAGCCCUGUUCCCAGGCUCAGACCAUAGCAGAGUGUCAAACCCUCUGCCAGCUGAAUCGACUGAACACGCUGAACGUUUAAAAACCAGUCUGCGGAAGCUGAACCCAGCCAAUCCAGCGCGACUUGACUUGAAACUGGCUGCCUGUUAUGAAGUCAGUGCUCAGACAAGAGGAGAGAUGAGAAGACUUGAGGCCUGACUGGAAUGGCUUUUCUCACUAAAUGUCAUUUCCAUUUAAAGACAGGGUAUUACAGAAAAAGAUUUUGCCUAGUUUGGGCAUGCUUCUCAGUGUGUCUGGGACGUUAUUUAAGUGACGAGUAAACAAUAGACGAUUCAGCUAGUUUUUUCCUUGAGGAAUGUUGCCGGCAGGGAAAUCACGGAAGAGAUGAUACAGAAUAGUCGUGUAGAGGUGGAUGAAGGCCAGUUGUGAUGUCACUUCCAUCUGUUUUCAUGCAGUAGAGUAGCAGAUCUGCUUGUGAGGCGGGCAGGCCUACACUUCUCCUUAGUUACUUCUCCUUGCCAUACUUAAUAGCCUUAAGUAUUUCCAAAUAAUCUUUGGAAUCUGUUUGUUUUGAGACAGCUCUGCUUAAAUAGGAAAACAUUCGAAAGCACUAAAGCCAGUUGUUUAGGAAAUGGCGUUGCAUAUAUUUUCAGCAGGAGCUUUUAUCCAAAGCCUUUCAAGUGAGACUGAGAGCCUAACUUGUUGAAGUAAAUUUGAAGUAAAUAUUACGUGCUGAACGAUCACAACUUGAUAGUGCUGAGUAGUGUUCGACCGAUAUAUAAUCGGCCGAUAUUUGCGUUUUUAAGUGUAUCGUAUCGGCCGAUUUCUUUUCUGGUAUCUGACCUUUUUUUUCUGCAUGAUUUACAGACAGUUCAAUACAUUUUUCAAAUUUAGACAUUGUAACAUUUUUUAUCAUCAUUGUGUCAUUUCUAUGAUGAAAAUUGAGGGAGCCUUAGCCUGGAAAUCCAGACCCACGUCUAGAAAGCUGUAGGGUCUGGCAACGAGUAAUGAAAAUGGCCCAACUCGAGAGGCGGCACCAAGCAUGCAUUUCAAAAUAUCAGAAGAAUACAAGGGCUUUCGUAUCCAGACCUGUGGAGCAAACCAAUAGAUAAGACUCUUGCCGUAUCCGGUCGGUAAAACAGCAACGCUUUUGGCCCGCCUAUAUUGAUACAUCGAUGUGAUUGAUACAUUUUCUGGGCCAGGGGAGGCCCAGAAUAUACACAAGUAUAUUGCUCGUUCCUAGAGUGACUCGCUGAGCAAAUUCAAAUUGUGCUCUCGCAAGAACUCUGGAUUUCCAGGGUAGUAUCGGCUCAAGAAAAUCGGUAUCGGCGUAUCGGUUAUCGGCUAAGGCUGAUGAAAAAAAAUCGGUAUCGGCCCUAAAAAAUCCAUAUCGGUCGAACCCUGGUGCUGAGUAUCUCUAUUCUCUAGGAAUCCAAACGCCUUCUUAUAAAUGAACAGUGAAUAUUGAGACUCAUGAAAGAGAUGGACAGGGGUUGCACUAUCUUCGUCAGGGUUCCUUGGGCAUCCAACAGAGAACCUUUCAGCUAGGAGUCGAACCCCAAUGUAUACUGGUCACUAGUGACGGGAUAGGCCAUCGUUACUGGCGGGGUCAAACUGCACGCAGUGUGAGGGUUUGCUAAAUAAGGAACCUACUUCAUGUCAUGCUUUCGUAACAAAUGAACAGGAAGGAUGUAACCCCACCCCCAAGCCCAAGGUCGCCUUCUCACUUCCCUUUUUUAGCCAGCUGGUAUGGGUGGUGCCCUCUGAUAAGGAGGAGCUGGGACGCCUUGACCCAACUUGAGCUUCAGUGCAUCUGUGUCAGCUCUCUUGUUUUGGAAAGAUGCCCUUUGUGGCCAUGAUAAAUAGACAUCUCUAUUUUUAAAUGCGUUUCUGAAAAUGCCCACUUCUACACUGCCACUAUUGUGCAACCACCAUGACCAGUAUAAAAGGGAAAAUCUGCACCAAAUGGAGAAGGAAACAGCUGUCAACAGAAAUUAUUGCUGCCUCUUUUCAAACAAUUGCGGCCUUAAGUGGGUCACACACUAUUCAUGAAGCACUGCAUAGCGUCACUUAAAAGAUAGGACAACAAUAAGAAGCUUUUAGGCAAAACCACCAAAUUGAAUGUUUUGUUCUUCAGACUUUUGCUAAAGUGUGACUCCCAUCAACUUCUUCGCUUUGAGCACAGCUUUGGAUCAGAUACUUUACAUAGAAUACAUUUUGAUAUAGGUUGGCCUAGAUAUCGGUGUAUUAAUAAUAAGCAGGUCCUGCGUUACAUCUUGAAUCAGUUUCAGAAAGAGUGCCAUCUAAUGGUAGCUUUUUAAUCAAUCAUUUAAAAUGAACUUUUUAAUAAAAAACGUUAAGAUACAAAGGACACUUUGUAAUCCUAUAGAAGGGUUUUGUCUUUUUUGUUUGGUUGAGUCCCAUCUUAUUCUGAAGAAAGGCACAGUAGGAUUCUGGCGGCCAAGCUGAAGGAGAUCACAGGCUCAGCAGGGUACUGAAGGAGAAAGCUCUUCAAUGGUUUAAGCAGUCGAUUGGCAUAAUUCUUUUUACAUGUUUUGUUUGCAGUAUAGUCUAGGAACACUUGCUUUAAAAAAUAAAGUUUUGAAAAAUACAUCUAGUAUAUACCAUAUGAAAGAAUACACAUUGCUAUCACAUUUGUAUGAUAUUUUAUACAUUUGUGAAUGGUGACCAUUCAUCUUCCAAAAGGUAUAUAAAUAAU
Molecule: long non-coding RNA, 2945 nt
Organism: Gadus macrocephalus (Pacific cod)
Lineage: Eukaryota; Metazoa; Chordata; Actinopteri; Gadiformes; Gadidae
Exons: 2
Source: RefSeq, a predicted model, not a curated record